This 450-nucleotide ribosomal RNA is filed under the name uncultured Levilinea sp. Its description in RNAcentral is "bacterial SSU rRNA". It matches the Rfam family "Bacterial small subunit ribosomal RNA", at positions 919 to 1382 of the family's 1533-position model. Lineage: Bacteria; Bacillati; Chloroflexota; Anaerolineae; Anaerolineales; Anaerolineaceae. The record is from RNAcentral.
CCCCGCACAAGCAGCGGAGCGUGUGGUUUAAUUCGAUGAUACACGAAGAACCUUACCAGGGUUUGACAUGCUAGUGGUAGGGAUCCGAAAGGUGACCGACCCCUCGGGGAGCUAGCACAGGUGCUGCAUGGCUGUCGUCAGCUCGUGUCGUAAGAUGUUCGGUUAAGUCCGCUAACGAGCGCAACCCUUGCUGUGUGUUACAUGUGUCACACGGGACUGCCGGUCUUAAACCGGAGGAAGGUGGGGAUGACGUCAAGUCAGCAUGGCCUUUAUGUCCUGGGCUACACACACGCUACAAUGGCCGGUACAAUAGGUUGCGAAGCCGCGAGGCGGAGCCAAUCCUCAAAGCCGGCCUCAGUUCAGAUUGCAGGCUGCAACCCGCCUGCAUGAAGAUGGAGUUGCUAGUAACCGCAGGUCAGCUAUACUGCGGUGAAUACGUUCCCGGGGCUU